CCACCGGCUGAGCCGCCUCGGCGCUACCGCCCUGACCGAAGCAGAAGAAGCUGCUUCUGCUGCCUAUUCAGCGUCUUCUGGAAGAUUCUUCUUGCGCUCAUCGUGCUGGUCGUGAUAGCAGGAGUCAUAUUCUACCUGGUGGUUCAGCCUCGCAUAUUCAAGUUCUACGUCAACGACGCAGAAAUAACGCAAUUCGAUUACAACACCAACACCACCCAACUCCGCUACAACAUGGUGCUCAACUUCACCGCCCACAACCCCAACAAGAAACUCGGCAUCUACUACGAUCAAGUGCUGGCCAAAGCCUUCUACGAGGACACCGACUUCGCCUCCGCCAACGUCAUCACUUUCAUGAACUCCUUCAGGCAAGACAAGAAGGGAACCAACCCAUCGGCUUCCUCGGGGCAACACCCGGAGCCCCGACCCGAUGUCCGAGAUAACCAUCUCCCCCCACGUGGAUAGGGACAACUCACAAGUAUCCUGAUCAGUGGGCUAGGUCACCUUUAGGCCCGCCCAGCACAGUAUAUAAGGGGAGAGGUCAGCUCUCCCCCCGAAGUACACAUCACCUUACCUAAAUUGGCUAUCUUUUCGUACAGACACUGACUUGAGCGUCGAAGUGUCCUUGCAGGUGGCCAUCCCCUCUCGUCCGUUCAACCACCGGCUUCGCCAGUCUCCCGCUUGAACCCGAAGACCCGUUCUAGGUCGCCCCAGGAUCUCGCCCCCUUUAUUCUUUCACCACCAUCCGACCUGACGAGAACAGCUAUAAAAUUCAUGAACCUUAUAUAUAGUCUAACUUAUGCCAUGCAAACUAAAGGUAUUAACUAUGACGUAUAUAUAUUCUAAUAAAAAUUUUAUAAUUAUUUUUAUAUAAAAAUAUUUUAUUUUAAUUAUUAAAUAAUAAAUUAUAAAAUUUAAUUUUAAUAUAUUAUAAAAAUAUUAUUUUUAUUUUUAAUAUAACUAAAUAAAUAAGUUCCACUUUUAAAUAAAAAAUAUUUAUAAAAAGAUGUUUUUAAUAUAACUCAUUCAAUUCAUUCACCUGGCGUGAAAUUUUCUUCUAGAGUUGGUUCGUGGCGAUUUCGGGAGAGAUAGAAGAAGAUAUUGAGAAAAGUCAUUCAAUUCAACGAUGCUACAUCGAAACAUGCACCCAGUCAAUUCAAUCCACUCUUGAUCCAUUCCAUUGAUACACAACCGCGUUAAUCCCUUCUACAAUUCUACUAUAUAUACUCAUUAUUAUUCUCAUCUAUCUACCUCAUCGUGCUUCUAACAUUCAUUCAAUCACACUUGUUCAUUUCUAUUUAAUUUCUAUCUCUUAAUUAAUUAAGCAUGGCUGAUAAUAAGCAACCAAACUUGAACGGAGCCUACUACGGACCAGCCAUUCCACCGGCUGAGCCGCCUCGGCGCUACCGCCCUGACCGAAGCAGAAGAAGCUGCUUCUGCUGCCUAUUCAGCGUCUUCUGGAAGAUUCUUCUUGCGCUCAUCGUGCUGGUCGUGAUAGCAGGAGUCAUAUUCUACCUGGUGGUUCAGCCUCGCAUAUUCAAGUUCUACGUCAACGACGCAGAAAUAACGCAAUUCGAUUACAACACCAACACCACCCAACUCCGCUACAACAUGGUGCUCAACUUCACCGCCCACAACCCCAACAAGAAACUCGGCAUCUACUACGAUCAAGUGCUGGCCAAAGCCUUCUACGAGGACACCGACUUCGCCUCCGCCAACGUCAUCACUUUCAUGAACUCCUUCAGGCAAGACAAGAAGGGAA
This 1759-nucleotide long non-coding RNA is filed under the name Arachis ipaensis. RNAcentral's name for it is "long non-coding RNA (AIPA_LNC001142)". The record is from RNAcentral. Lineage: Eukaryota; Viridiplantae; Streptophyta; Magnoliopsida; Fabales; Fabaceae.